Long non-coding RNA from Mus musculus (house mouse), 601 nucleotides. RefSeq annotates it as predicted gene, 30560. NCBI's taxonomy places the organism in Eukaryota, Metazoa, Chordata, Mammalia, Rodentia, Muridae. The record is from RefSeq and is a predicted model, not a curated record. The transcript has 3 exons.
CCAGCAGUUAAGUGCCACAUGCCCCACCUACUCACAGCCAUGGUCAGGACCUAGUCCCACAGUCACCGAGAAGCUGGGAGGGAUGGAGACGUGCCUGGCCAUUUGGAAAGCACCGAUGUUUUCCUACCACAGGCCCGGCUCAUAAUGGAGCGCAGGAUGAUUUCAGAUGGUAUUUGCAGAUAGUUUGCAGUGAACAUAGGUAGGAAAGACGGAAGACACCAUUGAGCCUGAAAACCAUUUGCUGACCACCUCUGGAGUUGGGUGGGCACACACUCCCACCUGAUUGGCACCCAGUAUGACCUGCCUCAACCAAGUUUCUAGGGUCCCUGUCACCAGAACUGGAAACCAUAGCAUCUCCCUGUUCGUGGGAUGGAGAGGACCCUGCCAAGCCCCCUCACCACUAGCUGAACCUCGGUAACUGACCUCGUGGCUUCCCUCUGAAGGGGUCGUGUCUCUGGAAGACCCAACAGAUCCACCCAAGGUCUCUGGGGACUUACCCCUCUCCACUCCCCAGUUCAUUUUCAUGAUCAUCCCGUAUGAAGCCCUCUGUGCCCCCACCCACCCCAUUUCACUCCCCUUGGGUAGAUCUUAUCUUCUCCUG